AGGGGCCGGCGCGUCCCAGACCCACGGCCAGGAGGGCGACGCGUCUGCGCUGCAGGGAGGCGGGGGCCAGAGAGGCCAGCGGCCCCCAGCGGCGUGCGAACGAGGACCCGCCAGGUUAGACCCACCAGGGUGUCCACUCCCAGCGUGAACAUCAUCAGGAAGAACAGGACCGACCAGAAGGCAGAGCCAGGCAGCAGAGCAAGGGCUUCUGGGUAGGCCACAAAGGCAAGUCCAGGACCUGGCGGGAGGAGGAGAAAUGGAGAACAGCCUCCCUCAGCAGCCCAGCCCAGCACGUUCUCUCCUGGCCACCAUGUGUCCACCCCAGUGUCAGGAUAAGGCCUUUGUCUGCAGCCGUAUUGUAAGGCCUAAAGCCUUCGUCUGCUAUCACCAGAUAAAGAAACCGAUCUUACGACGGUUAAAGAAAACGUAGUUUGAUAGCGUCCUGCCUGGCAGGAACUCACUUUUCAAUAGCUGGGCUAUGAAAUCAUCAUUUCCGUUGUUUUGUCAUUACGGUCCCCAGUUCCCUAUUGUUUAUCUGUCUGGUUCGUUCAUUAUUUCUGUCUGGUACAUAAUUAAUUUUGCUAGGUAUAAUUAAUGAAGGUGGUGGGGUAGGAUUGAUUAGAGAAUUUUGUUAGACUGUGUUAGGAUUGGUUAGUAAAAUUUUAGUGUAACGAUUGGUUAAGGUAGAGCUAAACAGGACUCAGAUUUCACUCUAUCAACUGGGGUCCAAAAGGAAGUUGUUUGGGAGCCAACUCCAGGACAUGGCCCCAAAGAUCAGAGCGGCCAGACCUCAACACCCUGCCAAUGACACCGAGCAGAAACUGGAGUCCCCCAGAUGGACCUGCUCCUGACUGGCCAUCCAGAAAAGUUCGUCUAUCCUAUUGGGAGUGCUGAGCACUGCUCUGGGCCCAAGGGGGCAGAC
Long non-coding RNA from Dermochelys coriacea (leatherback sea turtle), 922 nucleotides. RefSeq lists it as uncharacterized. The transcript has 3 exons. The record is from RefSeq and is a predicted model, not a curated record. Lineage: Eukaryota; Metazoa; Chordata; Testudines; Dermochelyidae.